CAAGUCGAACGCGAAAGUUUCCUUCGGGAAACAAGUAGAGUGGCGCACGGGUGAGUAACACGUAGGUAAUCUACCUUCGGAUGGGGAAUAACAACCGGAAACGGUUGCUAAUACCGCAUAAUGCAGCGGCACCUAAUGGUGACAGUUGUUAAAGCGGGGGAUCGAAAGACCUCGCGUCUGAAGAGGAGCCUGCGGCGGAUUAGCUAGUUGGUAAGGUAACGGCUUACCAAGGCUACGAUCCGUAACCGGCCUGAGAGGGCGGUCGGUCACACUGACACUGACAUACGGGUCAGACUCCUACGGGAGGCAGCAGUCGGGAAUUUUGGGCAAUGGGCGAAAGCCUGACCCAGCAACGCCGCGUGAAGGAUGAAAUCCCUCGGGAUGUAAACUUCGCAAGAACGGGAAGAAUAAGUAGGGGACAAUACCCCCUAUGAUGACGGUACCGUUUGUAAGCUCCGGCUAACUCCGUGCCAGCAGCCGCGGUAAUACGGGGGGAGCAAGCGUUGUUCGGAUUUACUGGGCGUAAAGGGCGCGUAGGCGGUCAGCACAAGUCAGUUGUGAAAUCUCCGAGCUUAACUCGGAAAGGUCAACUGAUACUGUGCGACUAGAGUGCGGAAGGGGCAACUGGAAUUCUUGGUGUAGCGGUGAAAUGCGUAGAUAUCAAGAGGAACACCUGCGGCGAAGGCGGGUUGCUGGGCCGACACUGACGCUGAGGCGCGAAAGCCAGGGGAGCGAACGGGAUUAGAUACCCCGGUAGUCCUGGCCUUAAACGAUGAAUGCUUGGUGUCUGGGGUUAUAAAGUCCCCGGGUGCCGUC
This 816-nucleotide ribosomal RNA is filed under the name uncultured Bacillota bacterium. RNAcentral's name for it is "bacterial SSU rRNA". It matches the Rfam family "Bacterial small subunit ribosomal RNA", at positions 58 to 850 of the family's 1533-position model. The record is from RNAcentral. Lineage: Bacteria; Bacillati; Bacillota.